AACAGGGGAAGACCCAAUUGUAUCAAUUAUUAACACCAGACACCAAAUUAGGCCCUGGUAAUAAAGCUAGUUAUACUGUAAGCUGCAGAAAUAAGAGCCAGCGUGCACUGUGUUGAACCCAAAAACACCUGCAAACCAACCUGCUGUUUUGGUGCUGGCCAACGGACUCCGUUUUGCCCCUCCACAUCAAUCUCCAGAAAACACGUACAACUUUACUGUUGAGAUUUCAAUCCUUUUUCAUUUAGUUGAACGUCGUCAACGUGCUUACAGAUCAACCUUGAAGGACAUACGGGCAUCCACACGGGCAUGGUCUGACCAAAACUGCCCAUAAAUAAAAUCUGCCAAGACGUGUGCCUUGUUGCAGUCUACAGUCAUGAAAACCCAUUACUUCAACAUGAGAAGCCUGGCAUUUUCCCUUCAGGAUCUGAAGCUCCACCUACAAAGUGUAAAGCUUGAACUUCUUUUAUCUUCUGCUUCCUGAUAGUCCCGGUGAUAUCCAUCCUUAUCCUCUCCCUGCUGAGAGGAAAAUUUGCAGAGCAACAGAUAAUGCAUGGGAUAUACAGUACAGAAAGAAGAAAAGCAGUCUUGCAUUAAGUUACUGCAGGACUUCAUCUGUGCUUGCUGCAACUUCUUCCCUCAAAAUAUCACAGGAUUAUCUUUACCUACUUGCGUAGUUCACAGCUUCUUGCUUCACAUUUAGUUUGGAAGGCUCUUGUAAACAAACCACAUGCAGUGUGCAUUUGUAUUAAGGCAGCAGAGCCAAAGACUUCACUGUUUUAUGCAUCAUACAAACCAUUAAAAGGAGAUGGCCCCUUUUCUGACAAAUAAUUAAAUGGGGAAGUAAAACCAGAGGCCUGGAAGGUUGGCCUUCCUGGCUGUGGAUCACAAAGUAGCUCAUCAGUUAGGCAAGUGCCCUGGCAGUGCCUUUGUCACAAAUUCUUUCUUCUUUCCAAUUAACGCAGACCUCUUGGCCCGACGGCAUGCUCCAAAUAGCUUCUUUUGCUGAGCAGAGCCAGGACUUUGCAGAAGCAAGCAAUUGCAUGAUGCCACUAAUUGCACAGAUUUUCUUACCUUGAAGGUUUUAUACUUCUUGGAUCCUUGCUUUACUUUACACCAAAAUCCUCUCCACAGUAUCACUUUGAUGUUUCUUCUCUGCUCGCAUCCUAGUUUUUAGCACUGUGCCUUCCAACAAAGCGUUAUUGUUAUAGAACUGUGAUGCACACUAACCAGAUGUAGGACAUUUUUUCCAGAAGUUUUGUGAAUCCAUUGUUUCCAGAGCUAGAUAUAAUACAGAUGUCAAAUAGAUUGAUACAGGGUUUUCUAGCAUAUCUGUAUGCCACCCCCCUCUUGCUCCCCAGCUCCUGAGGUUAUGGUUUUCAAUGUCCUUUAGCUCUUUGAAGCAAUCUAUUAAUGUCCAGGGGCAAAGAAGGGUAUGGGAGAGUCCAAGCAGCACAGAGUUCCUGUGUUCAGAUUCAGAUCAGAGAUACCCGGCCCUCUCAGGGCCCUCCCAGGGGUUUUUGGUACCUGAAAGCUUACAGGGCAGCUCGGCAGAAUUGUCUCAGGAGUGCAGUUUUAGACUGUAGGGUCUUAAUCCCAUUUCAAGCAGUUAAAUGAUUUGAAUAUAGAUAUUAAUAUCACAGAAGAUAAACAAGAUAAGAAGGCUGCUAAAUAAAUAAUUGGGUGCAGAUUCAAGAAGAGAAGGACUUCACUUUUUCUUGCUUCUAUAGCAGUGUAG
Molecule: long non-coding RNA, 1735 nt
Organism: Gallus gallus (chicken)
Lineage: Eukaryota; Metazoa; Chordata; Aves; Galliformes; Phasianidae
Source: Ensembl